This 484-nucleotide ribosomal RNA is filed under the name uncultured bacterium. RNAcentral describes it as "partial 16S ribosomal RNA". It matches the Rfam family "Bacterial small subunit ribosomal RNA", at positions 30 to 507 of the family's 1533-position model. The record is from RNAcentral.
AUUGAACGCUGGCGGAAUGCUUUACACAUGCAAGUCGAACGGCAGCACGGGGGCAGCCCUGGUUGCGAGUGGCGAACUGGUGAGUAAUACAUCGGAACGUGCCCGUUCGUGUGGGAUUACGUAGCGAAAUUUACGCUAAUACCGCAUACGAUCUGAGGAUGAACGCGGGGGACCUUCGGGCCUCGCGCGAUCGCCGCGUCCGAUGUCAGAUUAUGUAGUUGGUGGGGUAAAGGCCUACCAAGCCGACGAUCUGUAGCUGGUCUGAGAGGACGACCAGCCACACUGGAACUGAGACACGGCCCAGACUCCUACGGGAGGCAGCAGUGGGGAAUGUUGGACAAAGGGCGCAAGCCUGAUCCAGCCAUUCCGCGUGCAGGACGAAGGCCUUCGGGUUGUAAACUGCUUUUGUACGGAACGAAAAGGCUCUGGCUAAUACCUGGGGCUCAUGACGGUACCGUAAGAAUAAGCACCGGCUAACUACGUG